AAUCCUCAGUCAGUGUUUAUGUUCUGCUGCAGUGCAGCUAAAUAUCUUAUUAUUCCCUUCAUUUGACAGAUUUAGGGUGAUAAUGGAAAUGUUACUUUACGGAGUUCUGCUGAUGAUUAUUUCAAGUGUUAAUGGUCAGUCUUUGAGCUCCUCGGAUUCUGUGGUGAAAAGACCAGGAGAAUCAGUGACUCUGUCAUUCGGUGUCUCUGGAAUCUCAAUGGGCAGCUGGAUGACCUGGAUCCGUCAGAAACCAGGGAGAGGACUGGAGUGGAUUGGACGUAUAUCUGGCUCAAGUGUUUAUUAUGCUCAGUCUCUACAGGGCCAGUUCUCCAUUACCACAGACACCAGCAAAAACAUGCUGUAUUUAGAGGUGAAAAGCCUGAAGACUGAAGACACAGCUGUUUAUUACUGUGCAAGAGAUUCACAGUUAGACAAAAGUCUGCAGGGCUGAACAAAAACUGUCAUGAUCACUGAAGCAACUACUGCAAAUUUCCCC
This is a non-coding RNA of Rhinichthys klamathensis goyatoka, 496 nucleotides long. Lineage: Eukaryota; Metazoa; Chordata; Actinopteri; Cypriniformes; Leuciscidae. The record is from the annotation of a RefSeq genome assembly.